AGUGGACGCUGGCGGUAGGCCUAACACAUGCAAGUCGAACGGCAGCACAGUAAGAGCUUGCUCUUACGGGUGGCGAGUGGCGGACGGGUGAGGAAUACAUCGGAAUCUACUUUUUCGUGGGGGAUAACGUAGGGAAACUUACGCUAAUACCGCAUACGACCUACGGGUGAAAGCAGGGGAUCUUCGGACCUUUCGCGAUUGAAUGAGCCGAUGUCGGAUUAGCUAGUUGGCCGGGUAAAGGCCCACCAAGGCGACGAUCCGUAGCUGGUCUGAGAGGAGGAUCAGCGACACUGGAACGUAGACAGCGUCAAGACUCCUACGGGAGGCAGCAGUGGGGAAUAUUGGACAAUGGGCGCAAGCCUGAUCCAGCCAUACCGCGUGGGUGAAGAAGGCCUUCGGGGUGUAAAGCCCGUUUGUUGGGAAAGAAAAGCAGCAGGUUAAUACCCCGCUGGUGUGACGGUACCCAAAGAAUAAGCACCGGCUAACUUCGUG
RNAcentral lists this ribosomal RNA (492 nucleotides) under uncultured bacterium. RNAcentral's name for it is "partial 16S ribosomal RNA". It matches the Rfam family "Bacterial small subunit ribosomal RNA", at positions 29 to 507 of the family's 1533-position model. The record is from RNAcentral.